This 484-nucleotide ribosomal RNA is filed under the name uncultured bacterium. Its description in RNAcentral is "partial 16S ribosomal RNA". It matches the Rfam family "Bacterial small subunit ribosomal RNA", at positions 30 to 507 of the family's 1533-position model. The record is from RNAcentral.
AUUGAACGCUGGCGGCAGGCCUAACACAUGCACGUCGAGCGGAUGAAGGGAGCUUGCUCCUGGAUUCCGCGGCGGACGAGUCCGCAAUGCCUAGGAAUCUGCCUGGUAGUGGGGGAUAACGCCCGGAAACGGGCCCUAAUACCGCAUACGGUCUGAGGGAGAAAGUGGGGCAUCUUCGCACCUCACGCUAUCAGAUGAGCCUAGGUCUGAUUAGCUAGUUGGUGGGGUAAAGGCCUACCAAGGCGACGAUCCGUAACUGGGCUGAGAGGAUGAUCAGUCACACUGGAACUGGGACACGGUCCAGAGUCCUACGCGAGGCAGCAGUGGGGAAUAUUGGACAAUGGUCGAAAGCCUGAUCCAGACAUGCCGCGUGUGUGAAGACGGUCUUCUGAUUGUAAAGCACUUUAAGGUGAGAGGAUGGGCAUUAAGUUAAUACCGUGCUAUAUUGACGUUACCAGCAGAGUAAGCGACGGCUAACUGCGUG